This 73-nucleotide transfer RNA is filed under the name Thermotogales bacterium. Its description in RNAcentral is "tRNA-Pro". It matches the Rfam family "tRNA". Rfam says of the family: Transfer RNA (tRNA) molecules are approximately 80 nucleotides in length. Their secondary structure includes four short double-helical elements and three loops (D, anti-codon, and T loops). Further hydrogen bonds mediate the characteristic L-shaped molecular structure. tRNAs have two regions of fundamental functional importance: the anti-codon, which is responsible for specific mRNA codon recognition, and the 3' end, to which the tRNAs corresponding amino acid is attached (by aminoacyl-tRNA synthetases). tRNAs cope with the degeneracy of the genetic code in two manners: having more than one tRNA (with a specific anti-codon) for a particular amino acid; and 'wobble' base-pairing, i.e. permitting non-standard base-pairing at the 3rd anti-codon position. The record is from RNAcentral. Lineage: Bacteria; Thermotogati; Thermotogota; Thermotogae; Thermotogales.
CAGGGCGUAGUUCAGUUGGGAGAACGCCAGAAUCGGGGUCUGGAGGUCGAGGGUUCGAGUCCCUCCGCCCUGA